Nerophis lumbriciformis (worm pipefish) is the source of this 1405-nucleotide long non-coding RNA. RefSeq lists it as uncharacterized. NCBI's taxonomy places the organism in Eukaryota, Metazoa, Chordata, Actinopteri, Syngnathiformes, Syngnathidae. The record is from RefSeq and is a predicted model, not a curated record.
AAGAAGAAGAAGAAGGAAAUCACUGAACUUCGGACUCAAUCCACACUUUGACUGACGACAUAUUUCUGCUUCAAAUCGUGGCCUUUAGCAACCUGUUGCUGUGUGACCUAUUGACCCAUGACUUGACUGCACUUUGGCAGCCAUCAAAGCACUCCACUAUUUUUGGACGCCACUGACAGCCACAAACUGCCUUUUAAGCAAGGAGGACACAUUUUUAGCUGUGGACCGGAGCAACACUCUUGGGCUGCCUGCUGCAUGACACGGCAGUUUCAGAGGUGCAGGACGAUGGAAGCGAAUAAAAAAGCAGAUGUUGGAGAGAGAGAGAGAAUCAUGGCUUCAACAGGUGGACCAGGGACUUCUGCAUGUGUGCUGGCUUUGGGGAAGGGGAGGCCAAACUUUUUUUUUUUCCGCCGGUGGUCCCUUUUCCACCGCAGUAACUUUUUCCGGAACGUUGCCAGUUACCCAGAUUCUUGAUGCCAAAGGACUGACAGGCAGCUCAGAACACGUGCCAACCUUGGCCACGAUGGAGACGGUGGAGGCGGUGGAUUGUUUGAAGCUUCUUCUGCUGAAGUCAUUAGCUGCUUUCUCAAUUGAGAACACUUCCAGCACAGGUCAGCACUAUGAAGACGAGGAGAGAAGGUUAGAAAAUCUCCAACGCUCGUUGUAUCUGAACACACUUCAAUUAUACUGAGUGUAUUCAUUUAAAAGUCUAACACCAAAGUACUGCUAUAGAAAGGGAGCAAUGGCAAAUCACUGGAUUUGUAUCUUAAAAAAAUCAUGUUGCCACCAAGCGGUACAUUUCGGGUUGGAACUAUAAAACCAGAUUUGGCUUGCAUUUACACCCCAAGUUUAGGUACUGUAUUGACCAGAAUAUAAGACCAACCUGAAUAAAAGCUGACCUAUCUUUUUCAAAACCAGGUUUGGAAAAAUGACUAAAUGUUAUUUACUACCAGGCAAUUCUAACUUUUAAAAAAUUUAGGAUAUUUCUUAGGCUCUUGACAGUUUUUUUGAAGACUGUUCUUAAAAUUGGCACAACUUCUACAUUUUGCUAAAAUGCUCAAUUUGUGUUUAAAUUUGCAAAUUUUUGUUCUUACGCUGCAAUAUCUAUAUGGACACUGCCUUAGGGCCCGAGAAAGGUUUGCGUGUAUUAAAACACAUAAAAAAACUUGAUAACACACGCAAAGCUGAUCUACUCUGCUCGUGCAAUCCGUUUAGCGCAGGGGUGUGAAACUCAUUUUAGCUCAGGGACCGCAUGGAGGAAAAUCUGUGCACACGCGCGCUGGACUAUUAAAAUCAUGGUAUUAAAACUAAAAAAUAAAGACAACUACAGAUUGUUUUCUUUGUCUUACUUUGGCCAAAAAUAGAACAAACACUUUCUGAAAAAAAUAAUAUAAAAAUAUAGAAA